RNAcentral lists this transfer RNA (65 nucleotides) under Palaemon modestus. RNAcentral's name for it is "tRNA-Thr". It matches the Rfam family "tRNA". Rfam says of the family: Transfer RNA (tRNA) molecules are approximately 80 nucleotides in length. Lineage: Eukaryota; Metazoa; Arthropoda; Malacostraca; Decapoda; Palaemonidae. The record is from RNAcentral.
CAGGAAGUAGUUUAAGUAAAAUAUUAGUUUUGGGGGCUGAAGAUAGGGGUAAACUUUCUUCCUGA